Non-coding RNA from Glycine soja, 74 nucleotides. NCBI's taxonomy places the organism in Eukaryota, Viridiplantae, Streptophyta, Magnoliopsida, Fabales, Fabaceae. The record is from Rfam.
GAUCUAUUAACUUAGUUGGUUAGAGUGUUGUGCUAAUAAUGUGAAAGUCACAAGUUCGAGUUUUGUUUAGACCA